Non-coding RNA from Akkermansia muciniphila ATCC BAA-835, 420 nucleotides. It matches the Rfam family "Bacterial RNase P class A". From Rfam's summary of the family: Ribonuclease P (RNase P) is a ubiquitous endoribonuclease, found in archaea, bacteria and eukarya as well as chloroplasts and mitochondria. Its best characterised activity is the generation of mature 5'-ends of tRNAs by cleaving the 5'-leader elements of precursor-tRNAs. Lineage: Bacteria; Pseudomonadati; Verrucomicrobiota; Verrucomicrobiia; Verrucomicrobiales; Akkermansiaceae. The record is from Rfam.
GAUCAGGUUCGGGUGGUCGCUGUUCCGGUCUCCGGACCGGAGUAGAGGAAAGUCCGGACAUCACAAGGCAGCGUGUCCCGUGAAAGCGGGAGACGGGAAUCUCCCAAGGGUUCCCGGACGGAAAGUGCCACAGAAAACAAACCGCCCGGAUGGGGUUCGCCCCCAUGCCGGGCAAGGGUGAAAAGGGGAGGUAAGAGCUCACCGCUCCGAGGGUGACCAAGGAGGCAUGGUAAACCCCGCGCGAUGCAAGACAAACAGGGGAAGGGUCGCCUGCCCGCCGGAUCCCCGGGUAUUAGUCGCAUCCGUUCCGUGAAAACGAACGGGCGCGCGGAACGCCUGACUGCGGUCCGCGUGAGAAAAAUGACCGCACAGCCGGCUCUGGCCGGCGGACAAAAUCUGGCUUACAGAACCUGGUCGGCU